ACAACAUUUCUGCUAUCGACUGGAGUCAAUUUUAUUUUUUAUGGCUAUUACAUACCAAAAACGUAUGUAGGACUAUUUAAAUAAUUUUAUUUCAGUCGAUUUUGCCAAAUUUUCCAAAAUAAAAACAAAUGUUCCUUGUUUUCUGCAAAAAAACCGGAAGUGUUUAGAAAACUCUCACGUGCAAGCGUCGAACACUUUCUUAGAAAAAUAAAUGUUGUUCUAGGACAAGGUGAGCUCAGGUUAUGUAUUCGGUCGUUCGGCUCGUCAUUUCAAAGACAUAAACUUCGACGCAAUCUGAAGAAACUUCCACAACAAAUGUCUCAGUUUUAAACUUUCCAUAGACGUUUCUAUGGGCAAAUGACGCAAUUUAGUGCUACACUGAAACACGACUCAUUUUCGAGAAGCCAUAAAUAAUGCUAUAUUGGAAAGGUAUUAUAAAUUAUAAAUAUUUUAGAGCCAAAACCGUUUAUUUAAUCGGUGUGACGUCUUCGGAAGAGUUGUAGAUAAUAAUUUUAUCUUUACUCUGGAUUUUUUUUUAUUUUUUUUAAAUUUACUUAAGUUUAUUUAAUUUUAAAUAUUAACAGAUCAAUUGAAAUCAUAUUUUUUAUGAAAACUACAAAAAAUUACCUAAUCGAGGACUGUCCGCUCAUGGAGAAAUUAUGAAAAAAAAGUUAUAUACUUUUGAAAAAAAAAACAAUAUUUUGAAAAAAAUUUUCGCAGCUAAUAUGUCGAAAUAAUUAUUUACAACUUUUCCAAAGACACUAUGCUAAUCAAAUUAGUUUCUGAUUUGUCUUUUAACUUUUCUUUAAAUGGUAACAGAAAUGGAAAAGAAAGAAAUAUUAAAACCUGAGUUCUAGUGUUUGUUGUUUAUCGAUGAGUUAAUACUGUAAUGACCAUUCAAUGAUAGUUUUUGAAAAAACAAUUGUAUUCCAAUUAUGUGAAAUCCGAGAGUCAAUUCGACGUAUUGUUACUCUUUUACACAUUUCAAAAUAUGAUUUUCUUUCCAGGGUUAACAAAAUACAGUAAAAAUGACGAACACAAAAUAGAAAAAUAACUAGAGUAUCGGUGUUGCAUCACAUCGACAGAGGUCGCUUUUCGGAAGGUUUCGCAUUAGUAUGCUGUAGAAAACCAGACUUUCUUCGUCUGCUGCUGAAAUAGUCCCAUAGCCUUCACAUUUUCACUAAUGCUAAUGCUAAUUUUUAGAAUGCUUAAACUAACAGAGUUGUGAAGCAAACUGAACUCCAUCAUUAUUAAUUGUAAAAUAGUAUGUAAUACAGUCAGGUUUUUUUACGUGGUUUUUUACGAGGUUUUAUUUACGCGGAUUUUUGAACUAACGCGGUUUUUUUACGCGAUACCGCGCUAAUUCAAAAAAAUUUUCACGAAUUUCCGAAUCAACGUGGGUUUGGAAGCAGAAACGUUUAAGUGUUUAUCUAGUAAAAGACUUAGUCCAAAAAAUACUCUCCGCCCACCGAAAGAUCCGGAAUGACUGUCAAAGACGACAAUUUUAAAUACUGGUUCUAGAGCGUCUCGGGUUUUUUCUAAAGCCCUUCUUGCUGGACUACUUUACGCGGAUUUAAAAUAAACGUGGUUUUUUUUUAUGCGGAUUUCUGAAUAACCGCGGUUUUUUUUUACGCGGUUUUUUACGAGGUACGUAUCCCCCGCGUAAAAAAAAAAACCUGACUGUUCUUCAAUAAUCAGGGUAGCCACUCAAUCGGAAUAACCGAAUAUCGGUUACAACCAUGGAAAGCGAACGAAUUCUCGUGGAAAUCAGGAAUUCGCCAUGAACAAUUUCAAAUUGUUCGCAAAUAACAAUUUUCAAACUUUAAGAAAAUCGUAAUCAAUAUUGUUUUCGACACAUUUUGCAUGUCCGAAUUCUGUUCGAGACCAUUUUCAGGCUCUUGGUACGGCAGUGCCAAUUCGUUGAUUUGACCCCAAUGGCAAGCUCGUUUUACAUCGUUUUGAAAUUCAUUUUUAAAUCUUUCAAAGGACCGAGUGUCCGAAAACACUGCUUCAAAAAUUUUUGCUUUUUGUACUUUUUGUUGUUGGUAAAUCGGUGUUAUACCAAUGUUACAUAAUACCUAUUCGAAAUUGCUCAAUGUUGGAGUACAUCGCAGUAACGUCCUGAACAUGAAAAAAAUAUUUGAAUUAUAGCUUUUUGCAUUUUCAAAAUAGAUAAAGUCACGUAUAAGUGAAAGUACUAAUAUACUAAAUUAAUCUGUAUUUACUAUUAGGGGUUAUACACUAGUGUUAGGUAAACAAAUUGAAAUAUUCUUUAUUGCAUUUUCUAAAAGGAUAUGUACCUUCAGAUAAAGCGUUAAAAACAUUUAGGUUUUUUCGACUAGAGCAUAUUUAAAAAGAAAAUCAUAAACGUCUGAGCAGUAGAACCGAUUUGCCAGCUAUUGCAAGCGCGUAAUCUGCUGCUGCGCGCCACAUACCUAUUUUUUCCAAGAAAAUGUGGCUGUGGUAAGCACUGGUUUUGAAGAACCAUCAACCGGAUUGAAUUUUAGACAGGCUCGUUUAUAACAAUAAUAGCAUGCUUGGAAACGACGGAUUUUCUUUGAAGCAAUAUUUUUUUCCUACUACAAAAACCGAAAUAUUUUACGCGAAUAACGAAACUUUUUAGAAAAACUAUCAUUAUUUUUGUAAAAAAAAGUAAAUUAUGCAAAAUCCUCCGUUCGCGAGAGCCGUUGGAAAAUUUAUGUUUUGGUAAAAUGACUGCGCUGCCGCUAUUCGCAUAAUAGACCUAUUUUGAAGUCCUAUGCUUUCCUGUUUUUUUUUUGCGGAAAUGGGUCCAUUUUGGCGUGGUGCUUAAAAAUAGCCUUUUAAAUCGAGGUUGUGAGAAUCAAACCUUACUUUUUAAUGGCUAUUCUUGAAAUGCAUCCUAAAAUGGACCCAUUAUCGCAAACAAAAGUACACUCAAAUUUUACAUAGGACUAUUAUGCGAAUAGAAGCAGUCAGUGACUGUAGUUAUUGAUAACUUUAGCCCCCCCUAGAAUUUCCCAGAGAAUAAUUGUAUUCAAUAUAAAUACAUUCCAUACUACUUAUCAGAGCAUCAAAAUCAACACAAAUCUCAUGUCGUCAUUCAUUGAGCAUGAGCAUGAGCAUGAUUGACCGCCCGCGGUUGCUACUCCGUUAUUGCCAGAUCAGCAGUAAUUACACAGAGAACCAAUAGAUGAUGCUUGGGACCAACAUGCAUCCUCAAUGUGUAAAAACUGGUGACCUUAAUAUAUUUAUCAGGCAAUACCAGCGCCGGCCGCAUCCGAAUGCAGGUCAAAGAAGGAGUUUGUAUAGGAAAAUGUUGACGUGAUACUCGCUUUAUGGAAGCCGAGAACACCUCUGCACUUCCACGAGAAAUCACUGGGAUGUUGGAGAGAAGGGUAAGGUUUGCAGCAGGUUUCGUUUUGGUAAACGAUGCGCUGAUUUCGAGCGUCGGGUUCUUUACAACAAGUGUCGCGCCAUUGAGUUCAUUACAUCCGCCACGAUAUUCAUAAUGCGAUUCGAACUUAUUCAGUUUGAAAAUGUAACACCGCAACAAUAAAUCGUACGCAAGGAUACUGGAUCUUUGACCGAAUCGAGACAACUUCAAAUGAUCGGAUAUCUCCUCGUAAGGUGAUCCUCUUUAUACCGAAAGCUAUUGCGCGUUGUUGAUCUAUCUAAAAAUAGGCCACUUGAAAUGUAUAAACACGGAGUCUCUCUAGGUUCGGUCAACCGGAUAUUUUCUAUAUAACAGAUCGACUAACGACGUCUCUCGUAUUCACUUCGUCUGCUCUAAAAACACGAUCCCGCGAAAAACACACCUGAAAAACGGAAUAUAAAAAUGAUGCGCGCUUAUUACCGAAACGAACCAUGAGUAUCUUUCUUGCCAAACACCGCGAUCCUCUGCGUACGACGCGCGUGAAGUAGCCUUUACCACUUGUAGCAACCAGCUAUUUGUUAAUCUCGAGUACACGUUGGCCGCGAUUCUUUGGAAGGUAUACAUCGCGUUUUCGUUAGUCACGAUAUUUAUCGACCGAACGAAAUCUUCGGUGAGACAUGAACAAGCAUCUGGGUAAACUCCGCGAAAUCACUUAAUUUCGAAAACGUUCAUAUGAGCAAAACUCUCCCGAACCGGAAACGCGGUUUACACCGAAGCAUUUCGCACGACCGCUAUUUUUCCUUCUACCGACGCAGACGCUCGGGGAUACGACAUUUCGAUGUGAAUGUUACCUAUUGAAUAGAAAAAUUGGCAAAGUUUCAUGCAUACAAAGCCUUAAUAAUUUAAAAACGAAGUUAUCCAUAUUGACCAAUAUAUAGUCUCAUGUUUAUUAACAAAAUGCCGAACCAGUCAUAAUUGGAACGUAUUAUAUAAAACAUCUGCCCAAAAGCUAUAAAAAUCGAAAAAGUGAAGCAUAAGAUUUUGGCUAUCAUUACUGCACCAUAGUCCUCAAAAUCGAACGUAUUUUUGUUGUUGUUGAUAAACUGUACUUUCAGAAAAAUACCCCUUUGAUGCAAUGAAAAUGAUGCUAUGCGCUUAAAAAUAGAUUCAAACUUCCCUCAUUUUUCUCGACCAAAAAGGUAUAUAACCCCUUAAGUCAUGAGAAUCUGGGUCGCGGCUUUAAGUUAUAUGCAACAUAGGAAAAUCGAAAAAAGCAAAGCCUUGGUGCCACAUUUCGACUCGGAACCCGACCCUCCUGAACGGGCACAUCGCAAGUGAAACGGUGUGAAACUGAAUUGUAAAACAGUUCACGUUUGUAUAUGACUUCCUCAAUAGGACUGCCAUGGACGACUUUCUCUCACAUAUGCGCCUGAAUUCAAGUUGUCAAUCAUCGACAAAUAUCACUCAAAAUGUUAACGAUUACAUUCCCCCUCCGUGCAUAACGAAUCAUAUCAUUUGACGCUAACUACGAAAUUAUCUUUGCUUCGAGUACUUCUUAUGACUUUCGGAACCUCAUUCACCUGACAUUUCUAAAUAACAAUGCUCCUCUAUCUGGAUGUUGAUGGCGCUUCGAGCGCUCUUUAGUAAGCCCAAGACGCAAUCCCAAAAACGAUCUUUUUCGACCCCUCUUCAAUUCCUUCCAAGUGCGAUUUCAAAGCAAACAAAAAACAAAGCAUUUCAAAAACACUAUGAAUAAAAAUGCCACUUAUCUGCUUCAUGACGAUCCGCUGGCUUCUUUUUGCACAUUCCCGGGCAGCAGUAGAACCUGAACCGAAAAACUUGACCAAUUACACUAAUAAGAAAACAACUUUUUCACCAAAAUCACACGUAGAACAAAACCGCACACAUUAUCCAGCUAGCCUUGUUGUCAGUUUCAAACCACACAGUCAUGAGAAGUAAUACAGAACCCGCUGCAGACUACGGUGGCGUAGUACCAUUCCAUAUGCCAAUUCAGCCAGUUCAUCAAUGAUUCUUCACGGAACUUAAGUGAAUAUUCCGCAUCAAGCACAACACAACAAACAUUCCCGAAUAAACCCACUUCGCAAUAACACCUGUAACUUACACGCACUAUCCUAUUAAACAAAUUUUCUUCCAAAAUAUCACGCGAGCGAAAAUUUUGACGUCCAAAUCCGGCCACGGCCUACUUCGAUUCUUCAAAUCUCAUGUCGUCAUUCAUUGGCUAAGAACUAGUCAUGCACGCUGCGCCCCUUACUUUCUGGUACCGGUAGGGUUUGCUGAAGAAAAGUGAUUUCACAGGGUUGUCGUCCGGCAUCCUUACGACGUGACCGGUCCACCGCAACCUAUUUUCUUUCGCCAGGUGCGCAAUGGGGUUCUCUCCAUUCCGUUCGAAAACACCAAGAGGACUUUCGUAGAGGACUACCGGUUAUAUCAGGGUUUUGUAGUUUUUUGUACCGAAGUGGUCAUGUCCGAUCAGCACUGUGAUUGGCGCGUACGCAUGUGAUGUCUGAGAAGAACGGGCCGUCGAUGAGAACGUGGUCAAUUGUUUUGCUGUACGUUGGUCGAGGAAGGAAGGGACUUUGGACUUUGGAAGCUGCGAAGUUGGUGCAUAGCUGGCCGUUGUCAUUCGUCACGGUGUGCAGACUGUGCUGGCCGAUCACCGGCUUAUAUAAGUCUUUUCUUGCAUUCAUGUCCCCAAUGACAAUCUUGAUGUCUCUACGCGAGCAGCUAUCGUAAAGUUUCUCCAGCUGUGCGUAGAACGUUUCUUUCUCUGCAUCAGGUCUUCCUUCGUGAGGACAGAGAACCAGCCUUUUAUUCUCAACAAACACAACCUGUCGCUGAUUGCCUGCCACUUCAUCACACGACUCUGCAUCCUGCAUAAAACCGCUACCAAGCUCAUUGGUUGUGCCACCGCUUUGGUGGUACUGUGCCUUGCGGUCACAAAUCCACCGUACCUUCUCUCUUUUCAGGCAAAGCUCUUGGAGCGCAACGAUGUCGAAGUGGCGGGAUUCUAGCUGAUCCAGACAUCCGGGGCGUUGAGCGAUCUACUGUUACAUGUACCGAGCUUCUAAUCGUCGUCCUAAUUUCGUCGGCUGGGUCAUUGCCUAUUGUUCCAAUUCGUUUUGAAUUUUUGAUUCUUCGUAGUAUGUUUAUUUUAGUAUGCUGCCUUACUAGGGCUGCGAUGCCUAGUCUCGCGACGGGGCUGCCGCCAUGGAUGUAGCUGGCGAGACACCGCAAGUCAUAGCUGCAAGUCAUAAGCUGCUCUCUAAGGAGAACAACUACGCCUUUCCUGUCAGCAUACGACCAAGUUCCCACCGGUUCACCGGUUUUCCCUUGGUUGCUCGUAUCCUAGUCGGUAACACGUGGAGGUAGGAAUAGGGCAUUAUGCCUUGAACCACACUUGGGUCUAUUUUUUUCCAGCUAGUACGGGUGUGCUGUUAAAACGCACUGCCCAGCCAUUUACCAAACCUGGCUCUCCGCAAUAUCAAAUCAGUGUUGCUGAAGGAGGUUGGCGUUCAAGAUAUUCGGUACAUCUUCGGAGAUUCUAUCCCGAAGUGAUUUUUUCUGCUGUUACGACACUAUUUUAAGCGUUAUUAAAUAAGCAUAUUGAAACUCCUUUUUCUGUUUUUUAAAAUUACAUACAUGAAAACUAGCUCCCCCUAGAAAUUUUCCUUAGUUGCGCCCACGUGUAUACCCAUAUAUGAGUCGUUGCGGAACAGAGUGGUCUAAAGACCAUUUUUUUUUCAAAAUGAGUUUUUCACAGUAUCCGCAUCUACCCAAGAAACUGAAGUUAGAAGACCAGAAAAUUUUGAAAAAUCGAACUUUAAAGCUGAUUCAUACCAUGUUGAAAUUUCGUCCGAAACAGAAUGGCUAUUCUGUUUCGGAACAGAGUGGUCUAUGUACAUAAAUCGAGGUAAUACCAUCAUGUAACAUCUAAUAUGUAACAUAUUACAAAAGGAAAACUACACACAUUGUAUAUUUUUAGACUCCUUAAAAAAGGUGAAAUAAAGUCACCGAAACUGUCGGAAUAAGAAGAAACAAAUCGUUUUUGCUUGUAUACACGCACUGAUUAAGCUGAUAAAUCCGUUAAACUAACCGUUCCAGUCGUUUUUUAAACAAACAUAAACAAACAUAUUACAUGUGAAGUUUCCAAAGAAUCCGAUAGUAACUAAGCUACGUAUGGACUUUUGCUGUCUUUCAGCAGAUUAUUUUACUACCGAAAACACCCGACUUUGCAGUGUUCAUGUUUUGUACGUGGCCGCAGCCAACAGGAAGCUGAGACCUAUACCUGGUGUGUUUCAAUAUUUCCGAUACCAAACUCAAGUGAAAGAAACCAGUACGAGAGCACCCGAAAACAGUAACAUCAAAAAACCUUAGCGGUUGCUGUAAUUGUACAUUGCUUUAUCAUAAUUUGACUAUGUUUUUUAUUGUAAAUACAUCAAUUCUACAUUAAAUAUUAUUGUUCAGAACAAUAAAAACACUGUGUUUGUCAUUUUUACGAUGAAGAGAGGGGUUUUUAUGUAUCUUCACAGCCAUAUUUGAGGCAUUCUUCAUAUACAUUUAGAGGUCACUUGCAAUGUUUUUCAUGGUAAAAUUAUUGCGGGUGGUAGAUUCAACAACAAAACAACAAAAGACGUUAAAACUGCUACUGCUGCUGAACUGCUGCUGCUGCUAGGAAUACUGCUGCUGCUGGGACUACUGUUGCUGCUGGGACUAUUGCUACUGCUGCUGGGACUAUUGCUACUGCUGCUGGGACUGCUGCCGAUGAUGAAUUGUUGCCUCCAAGCUGUUCCGUGGAAACUCUUAACAGCAUUACAGUAUGGUCCAACGAUCAACUGAAAGGUUCAGAACGGUUCAACGGGAUCGGUAGACUUGCUUCAGCGGGAAAGCUUAGACUGACACGAACGAUUCCGCGAUUGCGACAUCGAUCGAGCAAGCAAGCCUACACAAUUGAAAUGCUGUGUACAUAUACAUAAACAAAAAAAAAUUCAAUUCAAUAUAUUGUACGCUUUUU
This is a long non-coding RNA of Wyeomyia smithii (pitcher-plant mosquito), 8387 nucleotides long. RefSeq lists it as uncharacterized. Lineage: Eukaryota; Metazoa; Arthropoda; Insecta; Diptera; Culicidae. The record is from RefSeq and is a predicted model, not a curated record. The transcript is spliced from 3 exons.